UAUUUUAGGCGUGCUAUUAUUUACCCUGGGGGUAGUGUGGAGUCUAGAAAAUACAUGUGACGACAUAGAUGAUGACAUCUGUCGAACAUUUCAGGCUAAAGUCAGUGUCUGUGAAGACGCAUGUCUUUCAAAGUUGUGUCCCAGGACCUGCAAUAAGUGCCCAAGGAAAUGCUAUAGCUGUAAUGACGUCUCCUCGUUAGAUGAUUGCAAUACAACAAGUAUAUGUCCGGAUUUCACCUACGAUUGUUUAGUACAUGAAGGUAUAGCGUCUGACUUUACAAUUUCCUAUAAGCUUGGAUGUGCCACAAAG
Long non-coding RNA from Saccostrea echinata, 310 nucleotides. RefSeq lists it as uncharacterized. The transcript is spliced from 3 exons. Lineage: Eukaryota; Metazoa; Mollusca; Bivalvia; Ostreida; Ostreidae. The record is from RefSeq and is a predicted model, not a curated record.